RNAcentral lists this long non-coding RNA (370 nucleotides) under Homo sapiens (human). Its description in RNAcentral is "LNC_000973". Lineage: Eukaryota; Metazoa; Chordata; Mammalia; Primates; Hominidae. The record is from RNAcentral.
GUCAUUUGUUCUCACAACCGGCAGAGGCAGAAGAGGGUUGGAAUGAAGACUCCGAAGGCCACCAGGAUGGGAAACAUGAGGCUGCUGUUGUCCGAGGCAUAGGGGUUGGGUGUGCGGGGGCCUGACUGCACCCGGUUCUUAUUGGUCUGUUUUUUGAGAUUAGACCCUUCAUCAUAUUCUUCUUCUUCUUCUUCCUCUUCUUUCUUCUCCAAUCCCGGAUGAGGCUGAAGCUUUGGUACAUCAUCCACUGUCCCAGCCAUGAUGUAGAGUGCACAGACCUUGGGAUUGUCAUAGUACCCCUUGACAAACUCAAUGUAGAGUUUCCCUGUGAAGGUGGACACCUCCCCCUGGACACUCAGCUUCCCCUUUC